Anguilla rostrata (American eel) is the source of this 4469-nucleotide long non-coding RNA. RefSeq lists it as uncharacterized. The transcript has 2 exons. NCBI's taxonomy places the organism in Eukaryota, Metazoa, Chordata, Actinopteri, Anguilliformes, Anguillidae. The record is from RefSeq and is a predicted model, not a curated record.
CCCCCAUAAAUCUACUGUUUCACCCCAGGGAACCGCUCCUUUACAUUGUGCCUGUUCAGUAAGUAGCUGGCGUUGCCUUUUGCCUCCCACAGACAUCGUUUCCACAUCUCAGUUUGACAAACGCGGGGCCAAACCACACAGCCCCUUCAUUCAGCUCACUCCAAGACAAACUUUGCACACCAUAGCAUGAGGAGAACCGCUGAACUCCUCAUCACUCUUAACACAAAUGUCAUAUAAAGACAGAAAUGAAAAAUGAAAACGUCUUUAAUUUUUUUCUUGAACAUUUCAUAGUUUUAUACUCGGCUGCAUAAAUGUGUUAUUUAGACUUCUGCCAUCUAUGUAUUUUUUCUUUGCAUUUUUAGUGAUGGCUAUGUCUUGUCUGCCCCAUAGUAUUUCAUGUAGAAUCAUCAUCACUUUGUACAAAUGUAUAAGGGGUGUUUUGGGGGGGGGGGGGGUCUUACUUUAGAAUAUACCCUGGUGGUCCCACUAUUAGACUAAGAAUAAGCACAGCUAUAAGCUGCUUACUUAAACAAGCUUUGAUAUGUUAAAAUGACACCUUUACCACACAGAAGGUUUAUGUACAUUCUUCAGCUUUUUGCUGUUACAGUCUCUAUAAUGAGCUUGCUGCUUUAUCCGUUUGCAUUUGCUGAUACUUGUAAGGUGCAUAACAGAAAGGUCCUUUGAUAAUUGACAGUUUUUGUUAAUCAGUCCAUUUGAAACCACCUUCCCUCCCUUGCCCAGUGAAAAUCUAGCAGGAUUAAAAGUGAUUCCAAAGUCCUAAUGAACCAGUUCCUUUCAGAACAACAACAGAUUAAAUCCAAGUCACAUGGAUUCAAUACAUCUGACAUUUUAGCAGGCUGGUGUCCCAGUGUGGAUGGGCAUGAAAAACCCCAAAAGGAUAGAAAAGGAAGACAUUUGGGUGUGUAUCUCCAAAUGAACAGGCGUCUACUGCUUGAUUAGACAGGAACUGCAUGGAUCAGUGUACUGCUUUGGUGAAGAACCUAUUAUUUUAAGACAUCGUCAUGGGCUAAACAUGAUGUGGGAAUACAAAGGUCUGUCUUUGAUUAUGUGAGAACACGUAAGGCUCUGACGAGAUCCAAACACAGCAUUUAUCAUGUCUGCCUUUACACAGUGCAUAUCACAAGAGUUUUGUCAUCUGAAGAAAAAGUAACAAUCCUAUCUGGCAGUAUUUGUGAAAGGGAAAGAGGUUACAUAUGUGUUCAGAAAUUCCUUUUCAGGGUAAAAUCAUAAAUCAUCAAACUGAAAGAUGUUAUUGGAUUGCUUUUUGGUUUUUGGUUGUAAAAUAUGUAAAAGGCCAAUGCAAGAAAUACUCAAAGGAAUCCUACAACGGAGAAUCUGAUUCGGAAUCUAAUAAAUGGCAGUAGAGAUGCUUGGAACCAGAUCCAUUUCAUUAUCUAGCCCCAAGGGUAGUCUAACACUAGCUUGAUAAAUUGAUGCAUAUUAGUGCGUUUGCCGUGUAGAAUUUGAAAACCUGCCAAUUCCAUAUGAAUUGUUGUAUUUUCUUAACAGACUGGUCUUCUGCAAGUGGAGAUAGCCUUGUAAAGAUUCCUAACCCCAGAUCUUUGCAAUCUUGUUGUGGCUGAAGCCCCCAAUUGUCAAAGUUGCACUUCUUCAAAUGUAUGCUCUAUGACUUGUUUGUUGGAUUGUGAGUUGUAAUAGUAGAGCUUUCCUCCAUUUGUCUGUCUGUUUAUGGUCUGUUUGCACAAGCCUUGCUAUGACAUGCAAUGAAAUCCUAUAUACUGACAUUAUACUUGAUUUCUGCUGUAACUGGUUUAUUAGCAAUUGGUACAAUUGACCAAGGCACAUCAGCCAUUUUUGUAGUUUUAUUUUUUACUUCUAGUGGUCAUCGUAUUGGUUGGGUAGUUAUAAAUAAAUGAAGAUUCUGUGGCUUGGUUAUGAGGGCACUGUGUAGAGACACAUUCUUCCUGUGGAAAAAAAAUCCAGAAUGCACUAAACUGCAUGACUAUGGUAAACAGAACAAUGCUUUUUUUCAAAAUGAAUGAACACAGGAUGCAGAGCAUAGUCAUUUUUAAUCUUGUUUUUGCAGCUGCCCGUGUCUGCCAGUGAUGGCGGUUUUCAGAAUCGACUCAAAUGGCCUGACCUCAGGAAGACAGAUUUUAUUCAUUAUAAACACACUGGCUUUGUUUUUGUUUUUCUUAGUCAGACAAGCUGUUUGUCUUUUGACGUGAAGCCGUGUUGUGCGUUUGCGUCAUUUUUUAGUGUUGUGCUCCACCACAGUGUCUCCAGCAGCUGUUCCAGGGUGUGCUCGGUAGGGACACUUGAGCAUUAGCAUCAUCUGCUAAUCAGGACAGAUGCUGGCUUUGAUUCCUUUUCAUAAUCUCUGCAAUGCCUGAGAGCUCAGGUAAUACAGGCACCUUGAGUGUGGCCACUGGCAAUGAAGGUUACUGGAGGCUGUUACUGCCACCAUCCAACCCGACGAAAGAGGAACCCUUUGAUGGUAGCUAACACGUUAUUCUGCUUCCUUGGAAAAAGAGAGACUGUUUACAUUUGCAGAAGGCCAUGCGGUCAUGCCUCGGUGGGGGUGUGGGUUUUAAAGGUUUGUAGGUCACCAGCACUGGCAGCAUUAAAAUGUUAACAAACACUGUUGUUGAAACCCACUGAUCUUAGUGGCUAGAUCUGUCGUACUGUAGUUCAGUGCAUUGUAGCAAUGGCCAGUCCUCUAUGCAAAACCUUCAAAUGUAUGAUGAUGUUUUUUUCCCCCAAAAUGACAACAGAGCAAUGGUUACUGUUGUGGAUUUUUAAACAUAAAAGCAUGGAGGGAUUUUUGAUAAAUAAGGCCCCAAAGAAUUUCCCUCAUCUGUCCAAAGGUAUUGCACAUUCUAGGAGCUGACUGCUUAAAGCAGGAUAAUCACUGUGUGCAUGACUGGAUGUAAUCUCUAUUUGUUGAGGUUAUAUGAGUCAGUUCUGUCUACUGCUGUUGCAACACUUGUUAAAUAAACCUAGUUAAGAAGGUCAUUUAGAAUACCAACAAAAGCGAUCAGUUUGGAAGUAAGUUUAGUUUGUAGCCAAACCGCAGUUAUUUAACAUUUGCCUUAAAACAUGUCAUUUCACGUUUGCAUUAAAAUGGGCAUAAACAAGCUUCUGUAGAACCAGGCAUGCCCAGUUACGUAUGCUUGCCACAUAGAAAGGAAUGAGGAAAAAUAAUUUGUGCCUGGACCUUUAUUAUCCCUGAAAACCAGGCUGUUUACAUCUAUUGCAUCUAACACCCAAAGUGUAAACUUUUGGUGUUUUACGUGUGUGCUAAAAUGAUGUACCUGACAUGAUACAUUUGAGUUGAAGAAAAUAUGCUGCAGUGCAUCUGUGCAGGGGUCACAAAAGGGGAAAAAUGGGGCUUGGGUAUGUUCAGUGCACACUGUAAAAGCAAUGAAUGGUGAAAGCAAUUAUGACGUGAUUUGGUCCCUGAGAUCCAGCUGUACCAGAGCACAGCGUCUGUUUUUCAUUGGCCCAGGUUCCCCCCUCUAAUCAAUUAAGCUUUCAUUACGCAAGGUAUUUUUAAUCAAACAGUAUUAGAUCUUGAAUUAGCAAGGGACCUUUGCAGGCAUACAAAUGGUAGAGUACAUACAAGCAAAAGAUUAAUUCAAGGUAAUAGCCUUUAUCCCGUAAUAUGCUUUAAAUUAUCGGCCAAAGGUUACAUCACCAAUAUCAAUGGAUGGAUGCCCCAAUGGAUUCUGAAGUAUUUAAUUGCAGCCUACCUGUUUUUGCACAGCCAACCAGGAAUGUCAUGGGCCAGUCAUGCAAUAUAAUGAUUUAGAAAAGCUUAAAGGUUUUACCACCACGAAUGCGGUUUUCUCGUGUCUUACUGUCUGCAAAAUGAGGUAACGCCUUGUCAAAGCUUGGUUUCUCUGGGCCCAGACGCAUAAUACUGUGAUGACUCACCACCUGAGCUCGUCCCUUAGACUGGCUUUCUGUCGUACAGGUGAGUCUAACCUGGUAUUGCGUACUAGCGCAUGUGUGUGUGAAGCCAAUGGAAACAAACAAAAAAAUAAAGAAACCCUCAGGCACUUGUGUGGUGUGGCAGUCCCGAACCCAUAGAGGGGUAGGCAACACCCAGUUUCCUUCCUCGGGCAGUUUCCUAUGGCAUGUAACAUACGGUCUUUAGGCCUUGGAGCGAGGCUGGUGUAUCUUGAAGACCUUUCAGAAGCAAAAAUAAAAAAGCAAUAUAUAUGUGUAUAUCCAAAACAAAGCAGCCUGACAGUGGCUUGUGGAAAUGGGUUUGGUAUAAGGAUUUUCCACAGUGGCACCCCUAUGCAUUCAAAAUGCCCUACUAUUUGACUUCUCCACACCGACAUUUCCCAGGUCACAAGUUGACUUUGAACCCUGGGAAAGGGACUGCCCCAGCUGCAUCACUGGACAAAAAUGACAAUCUGUCCAGGCCUGAUAAAUGUAAAAAAGUGAAGUAAAAAAACAAAAAGAAAACAAUCAACAAA